RNAcentral lists this ribosomal RNA (490 nucleotides) under uncultured bacterium. RNAcentral describes it as "bacterial SSU rRNA". It matches the Rfam family "Bacterial small subunit ribosomal RNA", at positions 30 to 515 of the family's 1533-position model. The record is from RNAcentral.
AUUGAACGCUGGCGGCAUGCCUUACACAUGCAAGUCGAACGGUAACAGGUCUUCGGAUGCUGACGAGUGGCGAACGGGUGAGUAAUACAUCGGAACGUGCCCGAUCGUGGGGGAUAACGGAGCGAAAGCUUUGCUAAUACCGCAUACGAUCUACGGAUGAAAGCAGGGGACCGCAAGGCCUUGCGCGGACGGAGCGGCCGAUGGCAGAUUAGGUAGUUGGUGGGGUAAAGGCUUACCAAGCCCGCGAUCUGUAGCUGGUCUGAGAGGAUGAUCAGCCACACUGGGACUGAGACACGGCCCAGACUCCUACGGGAGGCAGCAGUGGGGAAUUUUGGACAAUGGGCGAAAGCCUGAUCCAGCCAUUCCGCGUGCAGGAUGAAGGCCCUCGGGUUGUAAACUGCUUUUGUACAGAACGAAAAAGCUCUUUCUAAUACAGAGAGUCCAUGACGGUACUGUAAGAAUAAGCACCGGCUAACUACGUGCCAGCACG